AAAUUGAAGAGUUUGAUCAUGGCUCAGAUUGAACGCUGGCGGCAGGCCUAACACAUGCAAGUCGAACGGUAACAGAAAGAAGCUUGCUUCUUUGCUGACGAGUGGCGGACGGGUGAGUAAUGUCUGGGAAACUGCCCGAUGGAGGGGGAUAACUACUGGAAACGGUAGCUAAUACCGCAUAACGUCGCAAGACCAAAGAGGGGGACCUUCGGGCCUCUUGCCAUCGGAUGUGCCCAGAUGGGAUUAGCUAGUAGGCGGGGUAACGGCCCACCUAGGCGACGAUCUCUAGCUGGUCUGAGAGGAUGA
Molecule: ribosomal RNA, 306 nt
Filed under: Escherichia coli
Lineage: Bacteria; Pseudomonadati; Pseudomonadota; Gammaproteobacteria; Enterobacterales; Enterobacteriaceae
Description: partial 16S ribosomal RNA
Rfam family: Bacterial small subunit ribosomal RNA
Source: RNAcentral